AUGAAAGCUGUAUUUAUCAAAAGAAAGAUCGCAAGCGGAAUUUAAACGACCUGGUUGAAGAAACUAAUGAGAAAAAAUGGAAAAUUUAUUCAAUAUGAUCCAAUGUCUGGGCAAAACAUGAUUUAGCAGGAUAAUUAUGGUGUAAUGUAUCGCUUUCAGCUUGCCUGAGAAUUACAGGACUGAAGUAACAGUAUGGCAUUCAAGCUUUGAUGAAAUAUAAAGUAAUGGUUUGAACUUUGAAUUUGGGAUCUUUAUUAUAGACAGGGAUGAAGACCUUAAUAGACCUGCAGUCAGACACCAGUUAAAAGUUGCUUAUAACUCAUCAUGGCCAUUACCAUGAUUAUGGAAGAUGUGAUAAAAAUUUGUUUAGAAAGCUACCAAAUAUGUUUGUGAAAAAAAACCCAGCUAUUCUACAUAAUGUACCGUUCUAAGCAGAAGCAUUGACAGUUUGAAGACCAAAUGAAUUGGAAUUUAGUGUUUUGAUGCUGAAAAACCGAGGAAUAUUAAUUGGACAAUUUAACUUCUUUUUCAUCAUUAUUGAAGUUGAUAUUUUUAUCUCAGUUAAAAUGAUGUCCUAAUAUACAUAAUGGCAGUUCAGAGAUUUGUGAAUAUUCUUAGAAUAGGAGCUGCAAAAAAGAUUUCAGUUCAAAAAAUGUGUUUCAUGGAUGUAAAAAAUGGAAUUUGUUGUCUCUUUCAUGAAAUCUUUUUAAAAAAUCUGCAAUAUCUAACCAAGAUGAGUGAGAGAUCUACAACUAGACAUGCCAUUCAGUUGAAUUGUAAUCAUGGUAAAGAGGAAU
Mytilus trossulus (common blue mussel) is the source of this 797-nucleotide long non-coding RNA. RefSeq lists it as uncharacterized. The transcript is spliced from 3 exons. The record is from RefSeq and is a predicted model, not a curated record. NCBI's taxonomy places the organism in Eukaryota, Metazoa, Mollusca, Bivalvia, Mytilida, Mytilidae.